GUGAAUAGAAAGGAGGCUUCAAAGGAAAAUGAGUUAUUUUAUGUGUUUUUUAAAAGUUAUAAACAAGUUACCUUGUUCCACAUAGAAAAGCCCAGUAAAAAAGACUGCAUAGGUCAAGCGUCCAUUAGGAGAAAGAGGUGCUUCCCAUUUGAGCUUGACUUCCCGGGGUCCCUCCAGGAUUACAAAUACUGUUACUGCUCCUUCAGGAGGUGCCUCAUUUGUUCUAUUUUCUACCUGUGAAUAUAAAGUUGGCUUUUUAUUUGUGAACGAAAGAAACACGUCUUUUUCUCUGAAUAUAUUUCUUCAGAGAAUCCCUUAUUGUGUGUGAAAUAAACUAUUUUGACAGGAGCAGCUUGUCUGAGUGCUACAUGCUGCCAUACGAAUCAAAACAAAACCCAUGUUUGCUGUCUCCUGCUACUUUGCUUGGUAUGCAUGGAAUGACAGCUACCUUGGGCUUUCUGCUGAUUUUACCAGUCUAUCAAAAAAGCCAUCCCAAUCAGUUUGACUGA
Molecule: long non-coding RNA, 509 nt
Filed under: Monodelphis domestica (gray short-tailed opossum)
Lineage: Eukaryota; Metazoa; Chordata; Mammalia; Didelphimorphia; Didelphidae
Description: lncRNA (ENSMODG00000044222.1)
Source: RNAcentral